AGAUGUGAGGGUAAUCUGGUUGUGAUAGUGGUCACCUCACUGACCACCAGUGUUGAUUCAGCUGAUCUGGUUUGCUAGGUGAGUAACCCCUUUCUCUCUCAUCACUCCAUGAGCAUCCCUGCCAAAGCUGUGUGCUUGGUCAAAGAGGAUGGCUUUCCCCAAAUAGAUAUGGACCAUUCUUCAGCUGAAGGUAUAAUAAGGGGCGGUGCUCCCCUGCUAGAGCCCCCAAACAAGCUCUCAAAAUAGGUCUCUACUUCUACCUGUACUGAAUUUCCCUACUCUUCACACACACACAC
This 296-nucleotide small nuclear RNA is filed under the name Sorex araneus (European shrew). RNAcentral describes it as "7SK RNA (ENSSARG00000017977.1)". It matches the Rfam family "7SK RNA", at positions 1 to 297 of the family's 331-position model. From Rfam's summary of the family: 7SK was discovered as an abundant small nuclear RNA in the mid-70s but a possible function has only recently been suggested. Two independent studies have found that 7SK RNA binds the CDK9/cyclin T complex (known as elongation factor P-TEFb). Lineage: Eukaryota; Metazoa; Chordata; Mammalia; Eulipotyphla; Soricidae. The record is from RNAcentral.